UACAGAGGUGGCAAGCGUUGUUCGGAUUCAUUGGGCGUAAAGGGUCCGUAGGCGGCUUGGUAAGUUGGGUGUGAAAUCCCACAGCUUAACUGUGGAACUGCACUCAAAACUGCCAGGCUAGAGUAUGGAAGGGGUGAGGGGAAUUCCCGGUGUAAGGGUGAAAUCUGCAGAGAUCGGGAGGAACACCAGUCGCGAAGGCGCCUCACUGGUCCAUUACUGACGCUCAGGGACGAAAGCUAGGGUAGCAAACGGG
This 253-nucleotide ribosomal RNA is filed under the name uncultured bacterium. RNAcentral describes it as "partial 16S ribosomal RNA". It matches the Rfam family "Bacterial small subunit ribosomal RNA", at positions 524 to 776 of the family's 1533-position model. The record is from RNAcentral.